Molecule: ribosomal RNA, 1189 nt
Filed under: Brueelia nebulosa
Lineage: Eukaryota; Metazoa; Arthropoda; Insecta; Psocodea; Philopteridae
Description: 16S ribosomal RNA
Rfam family: Archaeal large subunit ribosomal RNA (bases 797-1138)
Source: RNAcentral
GGAUCAGGAAGUUGUAAUAAUUCUUGAAACAAUUUUUUUAUCAUUGUUAAGGGAAAUUUCCUUUUUGCAAAUUAAAUCGAUAGAAUAGUAUUAUUUUAACAAACUGAAGAGGUAAAUCUAAUAAGAUAAAAAAAGUUUAACUAUUCCGUUCCUUUUGUAUCAGGAUGGGAGGAAAAAUUCUUGUAUUAAAAUUUCCCGAAUAGAAAGGAUUUUUCCUUCUAUUAAAUUUUCGUUUCACUGAAAUUUAGAAUAAGGGGAAGGAAACUAAAAGUUAGUCGUCUUUCUAUAUCUGGUUCUUGUUGGAUUAAUUAAAUUAUUCUAUAGAUUAGUUUUUUACUUUUUAAGUUAAAGAAAUAAUUCUUUAGUUUAGUUUUGGAGGGAUAAGCUUCUAGAACAAUAAGAAAUGUAAGUUAAAAAUAUUUCAUUUUAUUUAUUGAUUCAUGAAUUCAGAUAGAAUUGAUUUAACUUAUUUUUACUUUAAGAAGUUGCAAGAAUGGGAGAUAAACUUUAUAUCUCCAACUAAAAUCUUUCAAUGAGUAAAUAAUGAAAAUAAUAGUAAGAAACUCGGCAAAAUGUAGGCUUGCAUGUUUAAUAAAAACAUCUCCUCUUGAAAUAAAGCAUAUGAGGUAGGUUCUGCUCCAUGCGUUAGUAAAUUGCCGCAGUAUUCUAACUGUGCUAAGGUAGCAAAAUAAUUUGGCCUAUAAUUAAGGUCUGGAAUGAAUGAUCUGACAAAGUCUAUACUGUCUCACUUUUAAUUGUUGAAGUUGGAUUGUUUGUAAAAAUACUAACAUGUGAAAGAGGGACGAAAAGACCCUAUAGAUCUUUUAAUUUUUAUAUAUUAAAUUCUCUCUAAGUUUAAGAUUUAUAAAAUUUACUUGGGAUAAGGCUGAAAAUAAAUUUUGGUUUCAGAAAAAGAUUGAUUAGUCAAUUUUAAAGAAGUUUUAUAAAAGAUAAGUUACCUUAGGGAUAACAGGACAAUUUCUUUACUAAGAACUUAUUGGUAAAGGGGCUUGUUACCUCGAUGUUGAAUUAAGUUUUCUUUUACUUGUAGAAGAGUACUGAGUUAGUCUGUUCGACUAUUAAAAACUUACAUGAUUUGAGUUUAGACCGACGAGAGUCAGGUCAGAUUCUAUCUUCUUUUUUAUUACUCUAUCUUGUACGAAAGGACUGGUAGAAAUAUUAUUUCAAU